AGCCUUCAGCCAAACCAAAUCAAGUAUUGAAGGUGAUGCCUGCCCGGUGACCUGACGUUUAACGGCCGCGGUAUCCUAACCGUGCAAAGGUAGCGCAAUCAAUUGUCCCAUAAAUCGAGACUAGUAUGAAUGGCUAAACGAGGUCUUAACUGUCUCUUGCAGGCGAUCGGUGAAAUUGAUCUCCCUGUGCGAAAGCAGGGAUAAACCCAUAAGACGAGAAGACCCUGUGGAACUUCAAAACCAGCGGCCACCCCAAAUCACAUAACCACCCACUGGGUUCACGCACACACUAAGCCACUGGCCCGCGUUUUUCGGUUGGGGCGACCUUGGAGAAAAACAAAUCCUCCAAAAAUUGGACCAUCCCUCCAGACUAAGAGCAACCCCUCAACGUGCUAAUAGCAACCAGACCCAAUAUAAUUGAUCAAUGGACCAAGCUACCCCAGGGAUAACAGCGCAAUCUCCUUCGAGAGUCCAUAUCGACAAGGAGGUUUACGACCUCGAUGUUGGAUCAGGACAUCCUAGUGGUGCAGCCGCUACUAAGGGUUCGUUUGUUCAACGAUUAACAGUCCU
Molecule: ribosomal RNA, 570 nt
Filed under: Lamprotornis iris (Iris glossy-starling)
Lineage: Eukaryota; Metazoa; Chordata; Aves; Passeriformes; Sturnidae
Description: partial small subunit ribosomal RNA
Rfam family: Bacterial large subunit ribosomal RNA
Source: RNAcentral